RNAcentral lists this ribosomal RNA (467 nucleotides) under uncultured bacterium. RNAcentral's name for it is "partial 16S ribosomal RNA". It matches the Rfam family "Bacterial small subunit ribosomal RNA", at positions 29 to 507 of the family's 1533-position model. The record is from RNAcentral.
ACGCACGCUGGCGGCGUGCUUAACACAUGCAAGUCGAACGGAAAGGCCCUGCUUUUGUGGGGUGCUCGAGUGGCGAACGGGUGAGUAACACGUUAGUAACCUGCCCUUGACUUUGGGAUAACUUCAGGAAACUGGGGCUAAUACCGGAUAGGAGCUCCUGCUGCAUGGUGGGGGUUGGAAAGUUUCGGCGGUUGGGGAUGGACUCGCGGCUUAUCAGCUUGUUGGUGGGGUAGUGGCUUACCAAGGCUUUGACGGGUAGCCGGCCUGAGAGGGUGACCGGCCACAUUGGGACUGAGAUACGGCCCAGACUCCUACGGGAGGCAGCAGUGGGGAAUAUUGCACAAUGGGCGGAAGCCUGAUGCAGCAACGCCGCGUGCGGGAUGACGGCCUUCGGGUUGUAAACCGCUUUCGCCUGUGACGAAGCGUGAGUGACGGUAAUGGGUAAAGAAGCACCGGCUAACUACGUG